RNAcentral lists this ribosomal RNA (866 nucleotides) under uncultured archaeon. RNAcentral's name for it is "bacterial SSU rRNA". It matches the Rfam family "Archaeal small subunit ribosomal RNA", at positions 85 to 953 of the family's 1478-position model. The record is from RNAcentral.
ACGGCUCAGUAACACGUAGUCAAUCUGCCCUAUGGACGUGGAUAACCUCGGGAAACUGAGAAUAAUCCGCGAUAGAUCAUAAUGCCUGGAACGGUUUAUGGUCCAAAUGAUUCGUCGCCAUAGGAUGGGACUGCGGCCUAUCAGCUUGUUGGUGAGGUAAUGGCCCACCAAGGCUAUUACAGGUACGGGCUCUGAGAGGAGAAGCCCGGAGAUGGGUACUGAGACACGGACCCAGGCCCUAUGGGGCGCAGCAGGCGAGAAACCUUUGCAAUGUGCGCAAGCACGACAAGGUUAAUCCGAGUGUUUCCUGCUAAAGGAAUCUUUUGUUAGUUCUAAAACCACUGAUGAAUAAGGGGUGGGCAAGUUCUGGUGUCAGCCGCCGCGGUAAAACCAGCACCUCAAGUGGUCAGGAGGAUCAUUGGGCCUAAAGCAUCCGUAGCCGGUUCUGUAAGUUUCCGGUUAAAUCCACUAGCUCAACUAAUGGGCUGCCGGAAAUACUGCAAAACUAGGGAGUGGGAGAGGUAGACGGUACUCGGGAGGAAGGGGUAAAAUCCUUUGAUCUCUUGAUGACCACCUGUGGCGAAGGCGGUCUACCANAACACGUUCGACGGUGAGGGAUGAAAGCUGGGGGAGCAAACCGGAUUAGAUACCCGGGUAGUCCCAGCUGUAAACGAUGCANACUCGGUGAUGCACUGGCUUUUGGCCAGUGCAGUGCCGCAGGGAAGCCGUUAANUUUGCCGCCUGGGAAGUACGUACGCAAGUAUGAAACUUAAAGGAAUUGGCGGGGGAGCACCACAAGGGGUGAAGCCUGCGGUUCAAUUGGAUUCAACGCCGGAAAGGGCGAAUUCGCGGCCGCUAAAUUCAAU